AGCAGAAUAGCUCAGUUGGAUACCUUUGGGUUUAGAGCAUCUCACAUGAAAUGAGAAGGUCUCGGGUUCAAUCCCUGGUUCAGCCA
This is a non-coding RNA of Mycena epipterygia, 86 nucleotides long. The record is from the annotation of a GenBank genome assembly. NCBI's taxonomy places the organism in Eukaryota, Fungi, Basidiomycota, Agaricomycetes, Agaricales, Mycenaceae.